AGUCGGUCGGUUUGUCGCUACACACUAUAUAGUGUGUAGAGGAAAGUCCGGGCAGCAUAGAGCGCCAUACUUCUUAAUAGGAAGCUAUUUGCGAGAGUAGAGCAACGUAACAGAAAACAACCACCACCAUCUUUUGUAUAAGGAAGGGGGUAAGGGUGAAAAGGUGAGGUAAGAGCUCACCGGGCUUUGUAGUAAUACAGAGUGCCGUACGUCUUAUGGGUUGCAAGGUCAUGUAUAUCGGAUAUGUAGGGCUGCUCGUCCGAUGCCGAGGGGUGGACCGCUAAAGAGUAAUGGUGACAUUGCUCGUAGAUAAAUGACAAACAUCUUCUUUAGGUAGAAGUUACAGAACCCGGCUUAUAGAUCGACUGC
RNAcentral lists this RNase P RNA (369 nucleotides) under pig gut metagenome. RNAcentral describes it as "Bacterial RNase P class A". It matches the Rfam family "Bacterial RNase P class A". From Rfam's summary of the family: Ribonuclease P (RNase P) is a ubiquitous endoribonuclease, found in archaea, bacteria and eukarya as well as chloroplasts and mitochondria. Its best characterised activity is the generation of mature 5'-ends of tRNAs by cleaving the 5'-leader elements of precursor-tRNAs. Cellular RNase Ps are ribonucleoproteins. The record is from RNAcentral.